AGUGAACGUUGGCGGCGUGGAUUAGGCAUGCAAGUCGAGCGAGAACCGUAGCAAUACGGGGACAGCGGCGAAAGGGACAGUAAUGUGUAGGUACCUACCUCCGGGUUCGGGAUAGCUGCGGGAAACUGCAGGUAAUACCGAAUAACGUCUCCGGACCAAAGGUGUGAUUCCACCUGGAGAGGGGCCUGCAUCCUAUUAGCUUGUUGGCGGGGUAACGGCCCACCAAGGCGACGAUGGGUAGCGGGUGUGAGAGCACGACCCGCGUCAUUGGGACUGGGACACUGCCCAGACACCUACGGGUGGCUGCAGUCGAGGAUCUUCGGCAAUGGGCGCAAGCCUGACCGAGCGACGUCGCGUGCGGGAUGAAGGCCUUCGGGUUGUAAACCGCUGUCGUAGAGGAGGAAGUGCAGGGGGGUUCUCCCCUCUGUUUGACCUAUUCUAGGAGGAAGGACGGGCUAAGUUCGUGCCAGCAGCCGCAGUAA
This 482-nucleotide ribosomal RNA is filed under the name uncultured bacterium. RNAcentral's name for it is "partial 16S ribosomal RNA". It matches the Rfam family "Bacterial small subunit ribosomal RNA", at positions 28 to 523 of the family's 1533-position model. The record is from RNAcentral.